Monodelphis domestica (gray short-tailed opossum) is the source of this 670-nucleotide long non-coding RNA. RefSeq lists it as uncharacterized. The record is from RefSeq and is a predicted model, not a curated record. Lineage: Eukaryota; Metazoa; Chordata; Mammalia; Didelphimorphia; Didelphidae.
UUGGAGCCAUGUGAUUUGAGGGUCUAGGAGGAGAGAGCAGAGAGAACCACUCCUGAAAAGGAAUCACUUGGCAGGAAAUGAGAUUUCCUUGGCCUUAGCCUAAAUAUCCUCUCCUCUCCCUCCUUUCCCUCUCCCCUCUCCCUUGGUUAGAGAGACCCUUGAGAACUUUGGAGGAUCAGGAGGAUUUUGGACUUAGUAUCUUCCCAAAGGAUCCUAGCAGCAUUCCUGGAAUAGCUAAUAAUAAUGUCUGCAUCAGGGCCAAAGAACAGCUUGGACAAGAUGAAGGGGAGCAGAUUCAAAGCUCUGUAAAAAUCUCAGAAGAAAAACCAAAGGGAGCAACAUCCAUCCAGCACCCAGCUUCCAGCUAUGGUAUAUAACACAUCUUUACUCUGGCAUUAACUGCGGGUAUGAAAGGCCAAGAAGAAUUAUAUGGGUUGAUCUAAUGCUUUGUGACUAAUGGAUUAUUGUGCUGAUGUCAAGUAUUUCUCCUGGUCUUCUGCAUAAGAUCACCCUAAACUGAAGAGGACCUGUUUAGCACACCUCAGGGGAAAUGUAUUCUGGGAUAGUUAAACCAAGCUCUUUCCAAUUACCUGAACCACAAAUGUCUUUGCCAUUCUUUAAACAACUUUUCUUCCUGUGAAAGCAAUAAAUACAACAAAUGAGAAAAUGA